Molecule: ribosomal RNA, 757 nt
Filed under: uncultured bacterium
Lineage: Bacteria
Description: bacterial SSU rRNA
Rfam family: Bacterial small subunit ribosomal RNA
Source: RNAcentral
UAGAGUUUGAUCCUGGCUCAGAUUGAACGCUGGCGGCAGGCCUAACACAUGCAAGUCGGGCGGUAACACAGGGAGCUUGCUCCUGGGUGACGAGCGGCGGACGGGUGAGUAAUGUCUGGGAAACUGCCUGAUGGAGGGGGAUAACUACUGGAAACGGUAGCUAAUACCGCAUAAUGUCGCAAGACCAAAGAGGGGGACCUUCGGGCCUCUUGCCAUCAGAUGUGCCCAGAUGGGAUUAGCUAGUAGGUGGGGUAAUGGCUCACCUAGGCGACGAUCCCUAGCUGGUCUGAGAGGAUGACCAGCCACACUGGAACUGAGACACGGUCCAGACUCCUACGGGAGGCAGCAGUGGGGAAUAUUGCACAAUGGGCGCAAGCCUGAUGCAGCCAUGCCGCGUGUAUGAAGAAGGCCUUCGGGUUGUAAAGUACUUUCAGCGAGGAGGAAGGCGAUAAGGUUAAUAACCUUGUCGAUUGACGUUACUCGCAGAAGAAGCACCGGCUAACUCCGUGCCAGCAGCCGCGGUAAUACGGAGGGUGCAAGCGUUAAUCGGAAUUACUGGGCGUAAAGCGCACGCAGGCGGUCUGUCAAGUCGGAUGUGAAAUCCCCGGGCUCAACCUGGGAACUGCAUUCGAAACUGGCAGGCUAGAGUCUUGUAGAGGGGGGUAGAAUUCCAGGUGUAGCGGUGAAAUGCGUAGAGAUCUGGAGGAAUACCGGUGGCGAAGGCGGCCCCCUGGACAAAGACUGACGCUCAGGUGCG